RNAcentral lists this ribosomal RNA (517 nucleotides) under uncultured bacterium. Its description in RNAcentral is "bacterial SSU rRNA". It matches the Rfam family "Bacterial small subunit ribosomal RNA", at positions 8 to 518 of the family's 1533-position model. The record is from RNAcentral.
AGAGUUGAUCAUGGCUCAGGAUGAACGCUAGCUACAGGCUUAACACAUGCAAGUCGAGGGGCAGCAUUGGAGUAGCAAUACUUCAGAUGGCGACCGGCGCACGGGUGAGUAACACGUAUCCAACCUGCCGCUUACUCGGGGAUAGCCUUUCGAAAGAAAGAUUAAUACCCGAUGGUAUAAAGAGUUCGCAUGUUCUCUUUAUUAAAGAAUUUCGGUAAGCGAUGGGGAUGCGUUCCAUUAGAUAGUUGGCGGGGUAACGGCCCACCAAGUCUACGAUGGAUAGGGGUUCUGAGAGGAAGGUCCCCCACAUUGGAACUGAGACACGGUCCAAACUCCUACGGGAGGCAGCAGUGAGGAAUAUUGGUCAAUGGACGCGAGUCUGAACCAGCCAAGUAGCGUGAAGGAUGACUGCCCUAUGGGUUGUAAACUUCUUUUAUAAGGGAAUAAAGUGAGGGACGUGUCCCUUUUUGUAUGUACCUUAUGAAUAAGGAUCGGCUAACUCCGUGCCAGCCGCAGC